AUACGUAGGGUGCGAGCGUUAUCAGGAAUCAUUGGGCGUAAAGAGCUCGUAGGCGGUUCAGCAAGUCGGCUGAGAAAGUUCGAGGCUCAACCUCGAAAUUGCAGUCGAUACUGCUGUGACUCGAGUCCGGUAGAGGAGAAUGGAAUUCUCGGUGUAGCGGUGAAAUGCGCAGAUAUCGAGAGGAACACCAGUAGCGAAGGCGGUUCUCUGGGCCGGCACUGACGCUGAGGAGCGAAAGCGUGGGGAGCAAACAGGAUUAGAAACCCCAGUAGUCC
Molecule: ribosomal RNA, 275 nt
Filed under: uncultured bacterium
Lineage: Bacteria
Description: partial 16S ribosomal RNA
Rfam family: Bacterial small subunit ribosomal RNA
Source: RNAcentral